This 30-nucleotide small RNA is filed under the name Bombyx mori (domestic silkworm). Its description in RNAcentral is "ovarian small RNA-26259". The record is from RNAcentral. Lineage: Eukaryota; Metazoa; Arthropoda; Insecta; Lepidoptera; Bombycidae.
UCAUGGUAUUAUUAGCAUCAUCAGAGAAGC